AACGUAGGAGACAAACGUUAUCCGGAGUUACUGGGCGUAAAGGGCGUGUAGGCGGUUUGUUAAGUCUGGCGUGAAAGCUCUCGGCUAAACCGGGAGAGGUCGUUGGAUACUGGCAAACUUGAGGACGGUAGAGGCGUGUGGAAUUCCGGGUGUAGUGGUGAAAUGCGUAGAGAUCCGGAGGAACACCAGUGGCGAAGGCGACACGCUGGGCCGUACCUGACGCUAAAGCGCGACAGCAUGGGGAGCAAACGGG
Molecule: ribosomal RNA, 253 nt
Filed under: uncultured bacterium
Lineage: Bacteria
Description: partial 16S ribosomal RNA
Rfam family: Bacterial small subunit ribosomal RNA
Source: RNAcentral